Non-coding RNA from Paramuricea clavata, 655 nucleotides. The record is from the annotation of a GenBank genome assembly. Lineage: Eukaryota; Metazoa; Cnidaria; Anthozoa; Malacalcyonacea; Plexauridae.
CUAAAUACAUGUGGUAUUCCCAGCUAACAAUCUGUUGUUAGAAACUACGAAAUAAUAUAUGGCUAUCAACAGAGGCAAUACUUACAAAGCCGAGUUCGUGAACUUUGGCGGUUGCGGUGAUCCUAAACGCUUUAGAUGCGCAUGUAAUACAUCAAAACAAAAGAAAGCCAUCUCCUUGUUGACUAUUCUAUUCGUAUGUUGGCUACGAGUGGCAUUUCGUCCCUGCCAACAACUCAUCGUCAAAAAACAACCACUGUCUUGCAAUGGUUUCUUGGCUUGGGUUAACUUUGCACUUGAGCCGGAAGUAAUUGUGACUGACCGCCCGAAGUACCUGUCGGGAAAUGUUUACAUCGGAAGUGAAUGGCAACGUGUAUUUCCAAGCAACAGAAGAAAAAUAUAAAAGGCGGACAAAGACGACGGACGCAGUAGAAGACGGGCGGUGAAUAGCCUGCGAUGCAGAUCCGUCUGCUGAGUUUGGCUGUGGUUUGGCUAUGUAUUUCGGAUACCGCCUCCUUUAAAAUAACAGCUAAAAAUAAAUUACAGAUUACUUAUGUAUUAAACAAACAGCGUAUUAGCCACAUCAAAAACAUUCUAGACUUUUAUCCUGGCCAAAACAAUUAAAACAUGUUUUCCAGCGUUUCAGGAUUAAUAGUUG